Pecten maximus is the source of this 1756-nucleotide long non-coding RNA. RefSeq lists it as uncharacterized. The record is from RefSeq and is a predicted model, not a curated record. Lineage: Eukaryota; Metazoa; Mollusca; Bivalvia; Pectinida; Pectinidae. The transcript is spliced from 3 exons.
GAAACAUGGCUUCCGAAGCCAAGAGAUGUCGGCCUAGAAUUGUAACGAGUUCGGCAACAUAGCGACGUAAAUAGAAAUGGUCACAGGUCAACCCGAUUAUACGACUGGGGAAACAACACACUAGGUGGAAGACAUUCAAUGAAGAAAAUAGUUUCUCUACAAACGAGCAUGCAGCACGGAUUCUUCUGGAUAAGUGUGCACUUCAUUGACACAAGAAGUUCAUGCAGGUGAAGACAUCCCGACACCAGCUGAAACUUCUAUGGGACCGCCAUCACAUGUGUGCACCCCUACACCAGUAACAUCUACGCCUGCACAUGCCCAUAAAGAACCUAUAGCUAUAGAUAGACCUCCGAUGUCUCAGAUAUAGAUAUACCUCAGACACAUCAACCUGAACACUUGCCAAUGGCUGAAGAUCCCAUAGAAAUGGAAGAGGUUGAUGUUGAUGAUGAGCUUGCAGAGGAUGAAGGAGACAUUGUGGAAACAGACACUCAAAAUGAUAGUGUUGAAGAAAGGAAAUCCAUAUGCUUCCAAAGUGCCCUGUUGUAACUCACGUCAGUUCGAAUACCCACAACUUGUCAAAGAAAAGCAUGUGGUGCAAAUAUCAUUCUCCAAUGGGGAUAUGUUGGAUGUGCAGUACAGUUGAAAUGAAUUGGAGGAGCAGCAUUUGGUUCUAGUCCUGGAUCCUCUGGUUCACCUACAUUUUCGCAAAGGUCAAAAACUAGGCCUGGCUGACGAUACACUAGCUGAAGAACUAAAUUUAUCAGUGGCUUUGGGUCCAUCCUUCUGAUUAUAUCCUAAUACAUAAAACAGUUAUUAUAGAACAAAUCCAUGUGGGUGGGAGUACUGUAGCAUUCUAAUGUAUAAAAAUAACUGUUUUUCCUUAUUUUUGGUUUUUGAGUUGAUAAAUUUUAAUGCACUUAUAUAACUUAUCUAUUUUCCCUCAAAUUUCAUCCCAAAUUUUUCUACUAAGGUUUUAUUUAAGGUAUGUAUGCGUUUUUUGAUAAUUGUUUGUGGAAGUAAGUAUUGUGUAAAUGUGGUGUUCAAUUUCAGAACAUGUAGGAGGUAGGUGUUCACUUAAUGGUGUAUUGCAGGUGUUUACAUUUCAGUACUAGUGUGUGUUUGAGAGUGUUCACUUGACAGUAAAUGCAGGUGUUCUUUCAACAUUGUGUGUAGGAAGUGUUCAAUUAUCAGUUUGCAGGAAGUGUUCACUUAUCAGUUUGUGUAGGAAGUGUUCACUAGCAGUGUGUAUAGGAAGUGUUCACUAUCAGUGUGUGUAGGAAGUGUUCACUUAUCAGUGUGUGUAGGAAGUGUUCAAUUAUCAGUGUGUGUAGGAAUUAUUCACUAUCAGUUUGUAGGAAGUGUUCAAUUAUCAGUGUGUGUAGGAAGUGUUCACUAUCAGUUUGUAGGAAGUGUUCAAUUAUCAGUGUUUAUACGAAGUGUUCACUUGUGAGAAUGUGUUUGAGGUGCACGUGUGUACUAACAUUGUGUGUAGUUGUUAUUAACUUAUAAUAACAUUGUGUUCAUAGAUGGUUCAUUCUGAUAAAUGUGUUAAUCAAGUGUCUAGUUGCAUAUUUUUUCAAUAUUCUGUGAACUAAAAUGAAAUACCCCCAUGUGUAAUGUAAAUACCUACCUAGAGAAACAGGUCUUAUAACCAUACCAUUCACUUGGUUGGUUAAAAAUUAGGUGUUCAUACACAUAUGGGAAGUAUGUUUGAUGUGUGAGAGGGUCUGUGUAUUUUUGGUAAAAUUUAACACUU